AUUGAACGCUGGCGGCAUGCCUUACACAUGCAAGUCGAACGGUAACAGGUCUUCGGAUGCUGACGAGUGGCGAACGGGUGAGUAAUACAUCGGAACGUGCCUAGUAGUGGGGGAUAACUACUCGAAAGAGUGGCUAAUACCGCAUGAGAUCUACGGAUGAAAGCAGGGGAUCGCAAGACCUUGUGCUACUAGAGCGGCAGAUGGCAGAUUAGGUAGUUGGUGGGAUAAAAGCUUACCAAGCCGACGAUCUGUAGCUGGUCUGAGAGGACGAUCAGCCACACUGGGACUGAGAAACGGCCCAGACUCCUACGGGAGGCAGCAGUGGGGAAUUUUGGACAAUGGGCGCAGGCCUGAUCCAGCAAUGCCGCGUGCAGGAUGAAGGCCUUCGGGUUGUAAACUGCUUUUGUACGGAACGAAAAGCCCCGGGUUAAUACCCUGGGGUCAUGACGGUACCGUAAGAAUAAGCACCGGCUAACUACGUGCCAGCCGCCGCCGUAA
RNAcentral lists this ribosomal RNA (498 nucleotides) under uncultured bacterium. RNAcentral describes it as "partial 16S ribosomal RNA". It matches the Rfam family "Bacterial small subunit ribosomal RNA", at positions 30 to 523 of the family's 1533-position model. The record is from RNAcentral.